CAGCAGCCGCGGUAAUACCGGCGGCCCGAGUGGUGGCCGCUAUUAUUGGGCCUAAAGCGUCCGUAGCCGGGUUGGUUAGUCUCCCGGGAAAUCUGGCCGCUUAACGGUCAGAAUUCCGGGAGAUACUGCCAGCCUAGGGACCGGGAGAGGCCGAGGGUAUUCCCGGAGUAGGGGUGAAAUCCUAUAAUCCCGGGAGGACCACCUGUGGCGAAGGCGCUCGGCUGGAACGGGUCCGACGGUGAGGGACGAAGGCCAGGGGAGCAAACCGGAUUAGAUACCCGGGUAGUCCUGGCUGUAAACGAUGCGGACUUUGUGUCGGACAAGCUAUGAGCUUGUCCGGUGCCGGAGGGAAACCGUUAAGUCCGCCGCCUGGGGAGUACGGCCGCAAGGCUGAAACUUAAAGGAAUUGGCGGG
This 414-nucleotide ribosomal RNA is filed under the name uncultured microorganism. Its description in RNAcentral is "bacterial SSU rRNA". It matches the Rfam family "Archaeal small subunit ribosomal RNA", at positions 459 to 872 of the family's 1478-position model. The record is from RNAcentral.